RNAcentral lists this ribosomal RNA (377 nucleotides) under uncultured eukaryote. Its description in RNAcentral is "partial 18S ribosomal RNA". It matches the Rfam family "Eukaryotic small subunit ribosomal RNA", at positions 592 to 976 of the family's 1831-position model. The record is from RNAcentral.
CAAUAGCGUAUAUUUAAGUUGCUGCAGUUAAAAAGCUCGUAGUUGGAUUUCGGGUGGGAAUGGCCGGUCCGCCGUUUCGGUGUGCACGUGCUACGCCCACCUUGCUGCCGGGGACGUGCUCUUGAGUUCACGCUCGGGACACGGAGUCGGCGAGGUUACUUUGAGUAAAUUAGAGUGUUCAAAGCAGGCCUACGCUCUGAAUACAUUAGCAUGGAAUAACACGAUAGGACUCUGGCCUAUCUUGUUGGUCUGUAGGACCGGAGUAAUGAUUAAGAGGGACAGUCGGGGGCAUUCGUAUUUCAUUGUCAGAGGUGAAAUUCUUGGAUUUAUGAAAGACGAACUACUGCGAAAGCAUUUGCCAAGGAUGUUUUCAUUAA